This 394-nucleotide long non-coding RNA is filed under the name Homo sapiens (human). Its description in RNAcentral is "non-protein coding lnc-KCND1-2:2". Lineage: Eukaryota; Metazoa; Chordata; Mammalia; Primates; Hominidae. The record is from RNAcentral.
GGAAUGGUGUCCGAGGUUUUCCCUCAGAGGCCUGGCAGGAAGGCCUUUCAGUUUCUUGCCACUGGCUGAGGCUGAGUUUCCCUGCUUUCCCGACACCAGAACUCACCAGUCUUCGACAGAAGGUCGCCUACUUGGAUAAGGAGUUCAGCAAAGCUCAGAAGGCACUGAGCAAGAGCAAGAAAGCUCAGGUAAGGGGAUCCCUUGUGGGUGAGUGUGACUGGGAGAUGUCUUGGUGGGCUAUUUCUGUAUGCUGAUAUUUCCUUGUACUGGCCUUUCUUUCUUUGUGUGCCUUUACAUCUGCUACUACCUCACUGCCAUGUGUUGCUGUAUCUGUCCUUGUUUCCCUGUAUUUGUCCUAACUCUGUGUCUCUUUCCUUCUCUCUCUUUCCAUUCU